RNAcentral lists this ribosomal RNA (253 nucleotides) under uncultured bacterium. RNAcentral's name for it is "partial 16S ribosomal RNA". It matches the Rfam family "Bacterial small subunit ribosomal RNA", at positions 524 to 776 of the family's 1533-position model. The record is from RNAcentral.
UACGUAGGUGGCAAGCGUUGUCCGGAAUUAUUGGGCGUAAAGCGUGCGCAGGCGGUUGUGUAAGACAGAUGUGAAAUCCCCGGGCUCAGCCUGGGAACUGCAUUUGUGACUGCACAGCUGGAGUGCGGCAGAGGGGGAUGGAAUUCCGCGUGUAGCAGUGAAAUGCGUAGAUAUGCGGAGGAACACCGAUGGCGAAGGCAAUCCCCUGGGCCUGCACUGACGCUCAUGCACGAAAGCGUGGGGAGCAAACAGG